RNAcentral lists this long non-coding RNA (1138 nucleotides) under Oreochromis niloticus (Nile tilapia). RNAcentral describes it as "lncRNA (ENSONIG00000028057.1)". The record is from RNAcentral. Lineage: Eukaryota; Metazoa; Chordata; Actinopteri; Cichliformes; Cichlidae.
UGUUUGGCCUACCUAUUACGCGAACACUGCCCUCCAGUUGGACCUCGGGCUCUCCAUGCCUCCUCGUCCUCCUCGCUCCCUCUACAUCGUUCCCCUGCUCCUCGCUAGUGAAAGAGCAGCUGUUUGGCCUGCCUAUUACGCGAACACCGCCCUCCAUUUGGACCUCGGGCUCUCCGUGCCUCCGUGUCCUCCUUGCUUUCUCUCCAUCAUUCUCAAGUGCCCCGCUAGUGAAAGCGCAGCAGUUUGGCCUGCCCAUUACGCGAACACCGCCCUCCGUUUAUGCUCCUCGCGAGCGUACGCUUAGGUCUGCAGAUGGCCGGUUUCGCGAACACCGCCCUCUAGUUGGACCUCGGGCUCUCCGUUGUUCCUCGUCCUCCUUGCUCCUUCUCCUUCGUUCUCAUGCACCUCGCUAGUGAAAGAGAAGCUGUUUGGCCUUCCUAUUACGCGAACACCGCCCUCCAGUUGGAUCUCGGGCUCUCCGUUGCUCCUGGUCCUCCUCGCUCCCUCUACAUCGUUCUCAAGCGCCUCGCUAGUAAAAGAGAAGCUGUUUGGCCUGCCCAUUACGCGAACACCGCCCUCCGUUUAUGCUCCUCGCUAGCGUACGCUUAUGUCUGCGGAGGGCCGGUUUCUCGAACACCGCCUUCGGUGAGGACCUCUGGAUCUCCUUUGCUCCUCGUCCUCCCUGCUCCCUCUCCUUUGUUCUCAUGCCCCUCGCUAGUGAAAGAGCAGCUGUUUGGCCUGCCUAUUACGCGAACACCGCCCUCCGUUUAUGCUCCUCGCUAGCGUACGCUUAUGUCUGCGGAGGGCCGGUUUCGCGAACACCCCCUUCGGUGAGGACCUCGGGAUCUCCGUUGCUCCUCAUCCUCCUUGCUCCUUCUCCUUCGUUCUCAUGCGCCUCGCUAGUGAAAGAGAAGCUGUUUGGCCUUCCUAUUACGCGAACACUGCCCUCCAGUUGGACCUCGGGCUCUCCGUUGCUCCUCGUCCUCCUUGCUCCCUCUACAUCGUUCUCAAGUGCCUCGCUAGUGAAAGCGAAGCUGUUUUGCCUGCCUAUUACGUGAACACCGCCCUCCAGUUGGACCUCGGGCUCUCCGUGUCUCCUCCUCCUCCUUGCUCCCUCUCAUUGUUCUCAAGUGCCUCG